This 440-nucleotide ribosomal RNA is filed under the name uncultured bacterium. Its description in RNAcentral is "partial 16S ribosomal RNA". It matches the Rfam family "Bacterial small subunit ribosomal RNA", at positions 338 to 795 of the family's 1533-position model. The record is from RNAcentral.
CCUACGGGAGGCAGCAGUAGGGAAUUUUGCGCAAUGGGCGAAAGCCUGACGCAGCAACGCCGCGUGAUCGAGACGCCCUUCGGGGUGUAAAGAUCUGUCAGUGGGGACGAAACUUGACGGUACCCACAGAGGAAGCACCGGCUAACUCCGUGCCAGCCGCCGCGGUCAUACGGGGGGUGCAAGCGUUGUCCGGAAUCAUUGGGCGUAAGGAGUUCGUAGGCGGCACGUAAAGUCUGGUGUUAAAGGCAGGGGCUCAACUUCUGUACGGCACUGGAUACUUGCGAGCUAGAAUGCGGUAGAGGUAAAGGGAAUUCCUGGUGUAGCGGUGAAAUGCUUAGAGAUCAGGAGGAACAUCGGUGGCGUAAGCGCUUUACUGGGCCGUAAUUGACGCUGAGGAACGAAAGCCAGGGUAGCAAAUGGGAGUAGAUACCCCAGUAGUC